AAUCAAGGGGAACGGCUUUUGGGGGAUCCCAUGCGAACACCGACGAACACUCCCCCUAGCUCUUAGGGAGCAAAUGCUACGGUACCUCCAGUUGGUAGUUCCUAUCUGCCGAACAUCAUUUGUCUAGCUGGUCAGGAAGUUGGAUGGGCAGCGGUACACUCUCUGCCGGGGGAAAGCAUUCAAGUUAAUCACUUAAUUGCAGUUAACAGCCAGGGGUGGUCGGUGUUCUCAGAGGUAAUAAAACGGGAACAACACAUGUUACGUUCAGUUGAUGAAUAGGGGAAUACGCGUGAGUUUGGGAAAAUUGAUAUUCCAAGUAGUGCAAAUCGAAAAUUAGGACUUCUUCAGGGAUAUUUCUCCUGAAGAAG
This is a non-coding RNA of Pelobates cultripes (western spadefoot toad), 368 nucleotides long. NCBI's taxonomy places the organism in Eukaryota, Metazoa, Chordata, Amphibia, Anura, Pelobatidae. The record is from the annotation of a GenBank genome assembly.